RNAcentral lists this ribosomal RNA (468 nucleotides) under uncultured bacterium. RNAcentral's name for it is "partial 16S ribosomal RNA". It matches the Rfam family "Bacterial small subunit ribosomal RNA", at positions 28 to 507 of the family's 1533-position model. The record is from RNAcentral.
GACGAACGCUGGCGGCGUGCUUAACACAUGCAAGUCGAACGGAAAGGCCCUGCUUUUGUGGGGUGCUCGAGUGGCGAACGGGUGAGUAACACGUGAGUAACCUGCCCUUGACUUUGGGAUAACUUCAGGAAACUGGGGCUAAUACCGCAUAGGAGCUCCUGCUGCAUGGUGUGGGUUGGAAAGUUUCGGCGGUUGGGGAUGGACUCGCGGCUUAUCAGCUUGUUGGUGGGGUAGUGGCUUACCAAGGCUUUGACGGGUAGCCGGCCUGAGAGGGUGACCGGCCACCUGGGGCCUGCGAUACGGCGCAGACUCCUACGGGAGGCAGCAGUGGAGAAUAUUGCACAACGGGCGGAAGCCUGAUGCAGCAACGCCGCGUGCGGGAUGACGUCCUUCGGGUGGUAAACCGCUUUCGCAUGUGACGAAGCGUGAGUGACGGUAAUGGGUAAAGAAGCACCGGCUAACUACGUG